RNAcentral lists this ribosomal RNA (522 nucleotides) under uncultured Glomus. Its description in RNAcentral is "SSU rRNA". It matches the Rfam family "Eukaryotic small subunit ribosomal RNA", at positions 569 to 1092 of the family's 1831-position model. Lineage: Eukaryota; Fungi; Glomeromycota; Glomeromycetes; Glomerales; Glomeraceae. The record is from RNAcentral.
AGCAGCCGCGGUAAUUCCAGCUCCAAUAGCGUAUAUUAAAGUUGUUGCAGUUAAAAAGCUCGUAGUUGAAUUUCGGGAUCAAUAUAUCGGUCGUGCCUUUGGUACGUACUGGUAUCAUUGAUUUCUCCCUUCUGACGAAUCAUGAUGUCAUUAAUUUGGUGUUAUGAGGAGUUAGGACUGUUACUUUGAAAAAAUUAGAGUGUUUAAAGCAAGCUAACGCUUGAAUACAUUAGCAUGGAAUAAUGAAAUAGGACAUUUGAUCCUAUUUUGUUGGUUUCUAGGAUCGACGUAAUGAUUAAUAGGGAUAGUUGGGGGCAUUAGUAUUCAAUUGUCAGAGGUGAAAUUCUUGGAUUUAUUGAAGACUAACUACUGCGAAAGCAUUUGCCAAGGAUGUUUUCAUUAAUCAAGAACGAAAGUUAGGGGAUCGAAGACGAUCAGAUACCGUCGUAGUCUUAACCAUAAACUAUGCCGACUAGGGAUCGGAUGAUGUUAAUUUUUUAAUGACUCAUUCGGCGCCUUACG